GACGAACGCUGGCGGCGUGCCUAAUACAUGCAAGUAGAACGCACAGUUUAUACCGUAGCUUGCUACACCAUAGACUGUGAGUUGCGAACGGGUGAGUAACGCGUAGGUAACCUGCCUGGUAGCGGGUGAUAACUAUUGGAAACGAUAGCUAAUACCGCAUAAUAUUGAUUAUUGCAUGAUAAUUGAUUGAAAGAUGCUAUUGCAUCACUACCAGAUGGACCUGCGUUGUAUUAGCUAGUAGGUGAGGUAACGGCUCACCUAGGCGACGAUACAUAGCCGACCUGAGAGGGUGAUCGGCCACACUGGGACUGAGACACGGCCCAGACUCCUACGGGAGGCAGCAGUAGGGAAUCUUCGGCAAUGGACGAAAGUCUGACCGAGCAACGCCGCGUGAGUGAAGAAGGUUUUCGGAUCGUAAAGCUCUGUUGUAAGAGAAGAACGGGUGUGAGAGUGGAAAGUUCACACUGUGACGGUAGCUUACCAGAAAGGGACGGCUAACUACGUG
RNAcentral lists this ribosomal RNA (505 nucleotides) under uncultured bacterium. Its description in RNAcentral is "partial 16S ribosomal RNA". It matches the Rfam family "Bacterial small subunit ribosomal RNA", at positions 28 to 507 of the family's 1533-position model. The record is from RNAcentral.